RNAcentral lists this long non-coding RNA (645 nucleotides) under Monodelphis domestica (gray short-tailed opossum). RNAcentral's name for it is "lncRNA (ENSMODG00000048374.1)". The record is from RNAcentral. Lineage: Eukaryota; Metazoa; Chordata; Mammalia; Didelphimorphia; Didelphidae.
GGAGGAUCAUAAAAACUUUUGACUCUGUUUCUGGACCUGGCUGUUGAGCCUGACUGAAGGGGAGAAGCUAAGAACUGAUCCCGGUUAGCUUCUGUCCAUGGGUUGUGAUGUAAAAAUUCAGGUUUGGUUCUUCCAGGUUAACAUGGCUGCAAUCUAGACACGAAUCACUUCCUCUCCCCAGCACCGAACGAAAUAGACUACCUCAAAAUAGCAUAAAAAUCACCUUUGGAAGAACAGAGGGACUCUCCAGUACCCCCACAGAAAUGAAGGAUGGCAGCAGGAGCUCAGCUGUGCCCCACUGUCUGAGAUGGGCCAACGGCAGCAGCCGCCACAGUGAAUUCAGCCAUAACUACAGCCGAGUCUGAUCAUCGUCCUGAUGAAAUUACACUGAUCUAAUUUGCACGCUGUGAAGACAUUUGGCACUGGCUGGAUCGGAGCCUUGACAUCUUCAUUGGAACUCAAAGGACACUAAGAACCCAACGUUACAUUUCACAUUCUCUUCUGCCAGGCUGUGACAUUUUCUCCUCUUUAAAGGCAUUAUUGCAAGAACAUUUAAUUUGGGCUUGAUAUGUCUGCCAUUUUGCUGUGCAGAACACACUGAGCCAGAAGAGCUCAGCUGUAAUAAAGUUUGGCACCAUCAGCCCA